CCCGGUGAUUCAAGCGCUGUCGUACCACUCCUUCCCAUUCCGAACAGGAUAGUGAAAGGCAGCAGCGGGGACGAUACUCAUCUCGCAAGGGAUUGGGACAAUACCUCAUCGCCGGGA
Molecule: ribosomal RNA, 117 nt
Filed under: Candidatus Roizmanbacteria bacterium RIFCSPLOWO2_01_FULL_45_11
Lineage: Bacteria; Candidatus Roizmaniibacteriota
Source: RNAcentral